RNAcentral lists this long non-coding RNA (260 nucleotides) under Bos taurus (domestic cattle). RNAcentral describes it as "long non-coding RNA NONBTAT026753". Lineage: Eukaryota; Metazoa; Chordata; Mammalia; Artiodactyla; Bovidae. The record is from RNAcentral.
UUGGAUAAGGCUGUGCUUUAUUACAUGCAUAAUUACAAAUCUGUGCUAAGUGAAAAAUGUAUAAAGCAAUGGCGACCUGGGUUUAAGCCACACAGAGAAAGGGCUGGACAAUCCCAUUAACCCUUCUGCCAAAGUCCAUUCCAUUGCCUGUAACAUGAUUGUUUCCAUUUUCCUAUGGAAACUCAGGCUCUAUUAGCUUUGGUUGAUUCUAGGGUCUAGACACCUAAGCUACUGCUGAUGUCUAUAAUGUGUAUUUAGCU